Molecule: ribosomal RNA, 499 nt
Filed under: uncultured bacterium
Lineage: Bacteria
Description: partial 16S ribosomal RNA
Rfam family: Bacterial small subunit ribosomal RNA
Source: RNAcentral
GACGAACGCUGGCGGCGUGCCUAAUACAUGCAAGUCGAGCGGACUUUCAAGAAGCUUGCUUUUUGAAAGUUAGCGGCGGACGGGUGAGUAACACGUGGGCAACCUGCCUGCAAGACGGGGAUAACUCCGGGAAACCGGGGCUAAUACCGGAUAAUAUCUUCCUUCGCAUGAAGGAAGGUUGAAAGGCGGCGCAAGCUGCCGCUUGCAGAUGGGCCCGCGGCGCAUUAGCUAGUUGGUGAGGAAACGGCUCACCAAGGCGACGAUGCGUAGCCGGCCCGAGAGGGUGGUCGGCCACACUGGGACUGAGACACGGCCCAGACUCCUACGGGAGGCAGCCGUAGGGAAUCUUCCGCAAUGGACGAAAGUCUGACGGAGCAACGCCGCGUGAGCGAAGAAGGUCUUCGGAUCGUAAAGCUCUGUUGUCAGGGAAGAACAAGUACCGUUCGAACAGGGCGGUACCUUGACGGUACCUGACCAGAAAGCCACGGCUAACUACGUG